CUUUUCCACAGAACCAGUAUGUGGACUCUAUGAACAGUCUGCAGCAAGCUACUUACCACAUUUGUAUCACCUCUUCCCACUGUCUCAGCAGUCCCAUUUCUGUCUCCCUGGUUAUAGAAGAGAAGAGCCAGCUUCAGCUCCUACACAAAGUGGCUGGGACACCUCUUGCACACACCUGCCUACUCACACAGAGUUUCAAGGGGUGGAAAUCUGGAGCAGACACACAGGUCUUUGAAAGGACAUAUGCUUGGGGGACAUGUACUGCAUGUCUUUCUGUUGUGGGAGUGACACGAUGUGUGUGUGUGAUUUUUACAGGGAAACUGAGCAUUUCAAACUUCUCCCAGGCCUUGGGACUGAUGAAUGGCUCUGAGCUCCUCCUCGGGCAUGGCGCAGAGAAGUCGUGGGGAGGCACGCACCCUCUUGUGCCAGCACCCUGCCAUCUAAUGGCCAGGCUUCAGAUUCACAGCUCUCUUCUGGAUUACUAAUCUACAAGGCCUUCAACUAUUGGUUUUGAACAGCUCAUCUUCCAACCUCAUUGCUUGAUCACCCUAGAAUGCUUAAAUACCUUCUGAGCAGGAAACACCUUUAUGUUAAUUAUAUUAAAUGUCUGAGCCGGAGCCUACCAAGCAAUUCUGAAUACAGUAAACUAGGCACAGACUUUGUGAUUGGUAAAAACAAUGUGCUCCUACAUUGCAACCACUACAUGUAAAGAAAAAUCCUCAGAAAAAACAAAAUAAGGUCUCAACUUUGAGGAAGCUGGUUACAACAAAUUAUUUACAUCUCCAGCACUGAUCUGUGGCCACACCUCUGAAAAAGAAAUAAGUUUAUCUCGUCUCUUAGAUUUAACAAACAGUCAGAGUAGAGGUGGAUAAUCCUAAUUCACAUGCACUUCUGCGUGAAAACAAGUUUGAUUUGUCCACCAUAAGCAUUAACUUUCAGCCACACCUACUCUUCUGUUUGGCUCAAGUCUGUAAUUAAUGAAAGCUCCCUCUCCAUGUGACAAGCAAAUUUUUAUAUCAUCCCCCUUAUCUUUGAUUAAAGAUGCCUUCUAUAAAACUGUAAGAUUACUAUGGUAGCGUUUGAAGCUGAUUUAAGGAUAAAAACUUAAGAGAGUGAACACGCUCUUAAUAGCCUGCAGCUACAGCAUCACAUAUUCUUAUGUGUACCUGACCUGGUCUGCACCGAGCAGAAGAAGCCUCCAUGGUGUUCACUGAAGGAAGGAAUUUUCAUUGCAGUAAAUGUCAUGCUUCAGCUCUUUGUCAUCAAGAAAUGAAUUGUUUCAGUACAGCACUCAGUGACAAACCGCAUUGUUCAAGUGUGUGUGAACACCAUCUCAGGGAUUCUGACGCUUUACGGGCUCUCGAGCGUGCAAGCUGCUGAAAGCUUCGAGUUUUAAAAUGUCCACGUGACCAUUUUAAAAACAGGCAAAAACCCAAAAGCUCCACAUACAAAGUUUUCUGGUGCUCCUUUGGAGCCAAAGGUAUU
RNAcentral lists this long non-coding RNA (1485 nucleotides) under Cyanistes caeruleus (blue tit). RNAcentral describes it as "lncRNA (ENSCCEG00000010999.1)". Lineage: Eukaryota; Metazoa; Chordata; Aves; Passeriformes; Paridae. The record is from RNAcentral.